CCUACGGGUGACAGCAGUGGGGAAUAUUGCACAAUGGGGGAAACCCUGAUGCAGCGACGCCGCGUGAGUGAAGAAGUAUCUCGGUAUGUAAAGCUCUAUCAGCAGGGAAGAAAAUGACGGUACCUGAUUCAGAAGCCCCGGCUAACUACGUGCCAGCACCCGCGGUAAUACGGAGGGGGCAAGCGUUAUCCGGAUUUACUGGGUGUAAAGGGAGCGUAGACGGCAGCACAAGUCUGGAGUGAAAUGCCGGGGCUUAACCCCGGAACUGCUUUGGAAACUGUGCAGCUAGAGUGCAGGAGAGGUAAGUGGAAUGCGUAGUGUAGCGGUGAAAUGCGUAGAUAUUAGGAGGAACACCAGUGGCGAAGGCGGCUUACUGGACUGUAACUGACGUUGAGGCACGAAAGCGUGGGGAGCGAACAGGAUUAGAUACCCCAGUAGUC
RNAcentral lists this ribosomal RNA (440 nucleotides) under uncultured bacterium. RNAcentral describes it as "partial 16S ribosomal RNA". It matches the Rfam family "Bacterial small subunit ribosomal RNA", at positions 338 to 795 of the family's 1533-position model. The record is from RNAcentral.